RNAcentral lists this small nuclear RNA (104 nucleotides) under Ochotona princeps (American pika). RNAcentral's name for it is "U2 spliceosomal RNA (ENSOPRG00000022340.1)". It matches the Rfam family "U2 spliceosomal RNA", at positions 1 to 77 of the family's 192-position model. From Rfam's summary of the family: U2 is a small nuclear RNA (snRNA) component of the spliceosome (involved in pre-mRNA splicing). Complementary binding between U2 snRNA (in an area lying towards the 5' end but 3' to hairpin I) and the branchpoint sequence (BPS) of the intron results the bulging out of an unpaired adenosine, on the BPS, which initiates a nucleophilic attack at the intronic 5' splice site, thus starting the first of two transesterification reactions that mediate splicing. Lineage: Eukaryota; Metazoa; Chordata; Mammalia; Lagomorpha; Ochotonidae. The record is from RNAcentral.
AUCGCUUUUCGGCCUUUUGGCUAAGAUCAAGUGUAGUAUCUGUUCUUAUCAGGUUAAAGAUAAUGAGGAAGGGCUUGUCACAGGAGAGUGACAAGGAAAUCAAC